UUUUCCUUCCUUCCUGUAAAACAGGUUGUUCUUCAGAGCAAGUGGUGAAGCUGUGAGCUCAUUCAUACCGGAAGCAGUAAGCCUUGCGAAGCAGCAAGAGAACACAUCAGACUGAGGAGACUUUUUUAGAGGGAAGAUUAGUGCUAGAGGUGUGGACUUAGGAGUGGUAAAUUGGUCAAAGACGAAGAAGAACAGGUGACCCUGCCUUGUUUCAGAGGGUGAAAGAAUACUGCUGAUGGCAACAGACAGAUGAGCCGACAUGUUGACCUGUGGUCUUGGCAGCACUAGUAAGUAUUGUACUGCCUGCUAAUCAAACGAUGUGGUGGGUGAUUAGGCGGGGAAUCAAGUGAAGUGAGCCACCGACUAAACAAGGGUUCUGCGAUGGAGAUGGCGUGCAGAGUGGGUUCCAACGAGGACGACGACUGAGCUGAGCUCCCCUUCAAAGGAUCGUCAUCCAAUGCUGCAGAUCAGCUGGUCACUUCAGGCACCUCCUGGCAAAAUGGUUAGCAGAAACGGAUGUUUGAGCCAGAUGCUUUGCUUUGUUUCUAAUAUGAAAUUGUGCAGACAAAAGAUAGAGUGCUUUUGGAAGCUACUGCUAUAUGAGUAAACAUUAUCCCCUGUAUGGGCGUCGUUGACAUGAGAUUUUUAUUUUAUGAGGAUGAAGUGAUGAACAUCGGUUGUUGGAAGGUACCAAUCCAGUUUGGCAUGAGCUCAGACGGUCAGACCAAACAAUCUGAUAUUUAGGGGAGUUCCUUGACCAUUGUAUCGUAACAUAGUCUCAUAGUAGCUCUUUUGUUGAUGCCGGAUGAACACUAUAUAUUUGGUGAAACCAUCUUUUAUUCAUAGUUUCUGAAUC
Molecule: long non-coding RNA, 856 nt
Organism: Panicum hallii
Lineage: Eukaryota; Viridiplantae; Streptophyta; Magnoliopsida; Poales; Poaceae
Exons: 3
Source: RefSeq, a predicted model, not a curated record